Molecule: long non-coding RNA, 1550 nt
Organism: Tachysurus fulvidraco (yellow catfish)
Lineage: Eukaryota; Metazoa; Chordata; Actinopteri; Siluriformes; Bagridae
Exons: 3
Source: RefSeq, a predicted model, not a curated record
AACCUGAGACUUUUUUCACUCACAAAACCUGCUCUGCACAUUCACAGAUAGUGAAUCAACAGUACUGAUGCAAUCUCAGGGUGUAGAAGAGUCUACUGAGUAUAAAUACUGGGAACAUGCAACAAUAACAAAAGAACGAACACCACGAUUAUCAUCAACUCCAAUAAAUGUCUAAAUAUGGCAUUUCUGAAAAUCUGUAUGACAGCUUGAAACAAACAAAACUUAAUCCUGAAGAAAGAUGGCUUCUAACAGAAAUGUCAUUAAAAACUGUGGAUCAGGAUCAGCUCAGAGGGACUCAAGCCAGUUUGGAGGUUAGUCACAUGACAUAUCCAGAGGUGCCACGCCCUGCCAAGGCCUUGUAAAGCAGCAAAAUUCUUUAAUUUGAUUUUUACCAAGCCAGCCCUACAAGAAAUAGCAAGAUAAAGGGUUCUAAGCAAGAGGCAAUUUAUUUUAUCAAUGCGGAGCUGCUAAUAAUAGAGGGACUUUUUGCUGGUGUACCCUGGGUAGAACUAUUGGGUUCAGUGCUAUCGGGGGAUGACUUACAGCCUCAGCCACCCCUGCAACAUGGUGCCCAGCCCUAGAGGAGAUGAAGGUGUGAGGGCAAACCUGAGGGGAGAGUGGGUCAGCUUCUUGGAGGCAAAAAAGAACACUUCUGUUUUUCUGUACCUCUGCCAUAUGGCCUUCACCACCUGUGGGUGGGGCAGCCAUUGCCCAGGCCUUGGCCUCUGCUUCUACACUCUACUCUAAAUCUACUCUCUAGCAUGUGUACUGUGUAAUGCAAACAGCCCUCAAGAGUUUGGUUUCUGACCAAAGUAGGAUCUUAAGCACCUGCUUGAAGGUAGUGGUGCAAAUGUGGCCCACCCUUGUGAUAGAGUUAGGAGACCACCGUUCUUGCCAUUCUGUUUUAAUAACGUAAAAAUGGAUCGGAGGCUAAACCAAAAAGGAGUUAAAAAGAAAAGAUCAAGCGUCCACUGAGUGCAGCAAAACUACAGCACCACAAAGGCCCACUGAAGCCGGAACCGAAGAUAUGAGUCACGGCCACUGGCCACAACACUCCCGCAUACCACGGAGCUAGCGCAUCGUGGAAAACCAUGUGGGUAAGUUAAGCGAAAAUAUCACAAUGAGUACAUGAAGUUUGGAUUUUUCUGGACUGGGGAUGUUGAGGAUCCUAGACCUCACUGUGUUCUGUGUUAUGAAAUAUUGGCUAAUGAAGCAAUGAAACCAUCGAAACUCAAGCGUCACUUUGAGUCUAAGCACAAAGAUUGUACAGAUAAACCAGUGUCAUUUUUUGAGAGAAAACGUGAUGAGCUUGAGCGACACAUGAGUAAAAACACCUCACAGUUUUUAUGCGAAAAUCCAAAGGCUACUGAGGCAUCAUACAGAGUGUCUCUACUCAUUUGCAAAAACGGGAAAACCCCAUUCAAUUGGAGAGACUCUAGUUAAGCCUGCUGCAGAAGUUAUGGCAAACGUAAUGUUAGGGAAGAAAGCUAGUGGUGACAUGCACAAAGUACCUCUGUCCAAUGACACUGUCCAGUGACGCAUAACUACAC